AGGAAUGUAUAGCGAAAGCUACUUGCAUUUAGCUUAGUUNAAGCUAAGUUUAUGCAGGAUUGACUAUGUCGAAUAAAGUUCUAGGUGGGUUAUGAUGAUGACAUUUCCUAUCUAUGUGUCUUGACCAAAUUACGUGCCAGCAGUCGCGGUAACACGUAAAAGACUAGUGUUAUUCAUCUUUAAUAGGUUUAAAGGGUACCUAGACGGUAAAUCAAGUCCAAGAAGGGUACUAAUUUGCUAGAGUUUAAUGUGAGGGGGCACUAAAGUACUGAUAAGUGUAGAGAUGAAAUUCUGUGAUACAAUAUAUGGCACUGGCAAAGGCGAAAGCAUCUCAUUAUGUAAUAACUGACGUUGAGGGACGAAGGCUAGGUGUAGCAAAAAGGAUUAGAUACCCAAGUAGUCUUAGCAGAAAAUUAUGAAUGUCAUAGGAUGGAAAGUUGGAUGGAUAAACAACAAAACUUUUUCUAUAAAUGAAAGUGUAAGCAUUCCACCUCGAGAGUAAUUUGGCAACAUUGGAACUGAAAUCAUUAGACCGUUUCUGAAACAAG
Molecule: ribosomal RNA, 548 nt
Filed under: Anaptychia runcinata
Lineage: Eukaryota; Fungi; Ascomycota; Lecanoromycetes; Caliciales; Physciaceae
Description: SSU rRNA
Rfam family: Bacterial small subunit ribosomal RNA
Source: RNAcentral